UGUUCAACUAUAUUAGUCAUGGUGGUGCAA
This 30-nucleotide non-coding RNA is filed under the name Mus musculus (house mouse). The record is from RNAcentral. Lineage: Eukaryota; Metazoa; Chordata; Mammalia; Rodentia; Muridae.